Molecule: ribosomal RNA, 468 nt
Filed under: uncultured bacterium
Lineage: Bacteria
Description: partial 16S ribosomal RNA
Rfam family: Bacterial small subunit ribosomal RNA
Source: RNAcentral
GACGAACGCUGGCGGCGUGCUUAACACAUGCAAGUCGAACGGAAAGACCCUGCUCUUGCUGGGCUCUCGAGUGGCGAACGGGUGAGUAACACGUGAGUAACCUGCCCUUGACUGUGUGAUAACUUCUGGAAACUGGGGAUAAUACCGGAUAGAAGCUCCUGCUGCAUGGUGGGGGUUGGAAAGUUUCGGCGGUUCUGGCUGGACUCGCGGCUUAUCAGCUGGUUGGUGGGGUAGUGGCUUACCAAGGCUUUGACGGGUAGCCGGCCUGAGAGGGUUACCGGCGACCUUGGGCCUGAGAGAGGGAGCAGAAGGCAACGGGCGGCAAUAGUGGGAAGUCUUGCAGAGUAGCCGGGCGCGAGAGACGGCAGCGCUGGGAGCGUGAUGAUGGGUUUCGGGUUGUGAACAGCUUUCUCAUGAGACGAACAGUGAGUGACGGUAAUGAGUAAGGAAGCAACGGCUAACUACGUG